Acanthopagrus latus (yellowfin seabream) is the source of this 860-nucleotide long non-coding RNA. RefSeq lists it as uncharacterized. The transcript is spliced from 4 exons. The record is from RefSeq and is a predicted model, not a curated record. NCBI's taxonomy places the organism in Eukaryota, Metazoa, Chordata, Actinopteri, Spariformes, Sparidae.
UCAUAAUGAUCUUUAGAUGAUUUUUAUAAAUGAGAACUAGAUUUUCGAAACUGUUCAUUAUCCUCACACGAGCUGCUGUUGCGACCUUAGGAAAGCAAUGUCUCCACAAUGACAAACAAAUUCAGCAGAGGUGGUCCAGUCUUCAGUCUCCAGGCUUCACAGGUCGAUUGUCGGACAGAAGUGCACCGCCAGUCAUCCCAUGGAAGGCACGGGAAGCUUGUCACUGUCACGUUGAGGACUGGAGCUGUUCGUCAAAGCCCUGAGCUGACCCCGGCAAGUGAGUCACUCGGCGGAGUAAUUCAUGCCCCAUCAAAAAAUCUCCCCGGUGCUUAUGGAGGCUACAAGCACAAUGACACAAUCUGGCGAGCGGGAGAUUAAUUCCGAGUACAGGUAUCAGUGGAGAGAGUCUGUGCUGUUUCUGCUGCAUGAGAGUGACAAACAUCUGUGGUAAAUUCCAAUUUUCACAAUUACACUGGUCCUGUUCUCCUGAACAAACUGACCCGAGACGAUGACCUGAGAUCUGUCAGCACCAUGUCAACCUUCAAAAGCAAACUUUUUUCCUAUUCUCUCAGAUUUUUUGAUUUGUUCGUGUGUGUACCGAAUGUCUGUCUGUGCUCAGUAUCUUUAAUGUAAAGCACCUUGAGUUGACUCAUAAUCGGAUGUUCUUUAUGAAGGAAAUAGCUUUUUUCUCCCAUCUCUCCAGAUGGGAGAAAAAUAUCAAAGCCUGCCUAAACCACAAAUGAAUGCAUCUCUUAUCACUGCAGUGUUUUUUUUAUUUUUUGUUUUUUUUUUUUGCCAGUGAUGAUUGAGUUGAGGAGAAUAAACAGGAAAACACAAGGCUGCCUGAGGUUGCUGCAGGA